Molecule: ribosomal RNA, 739 nt
Filed under: Pseudomonas asturiensis
Lineage: Bacteria; Pseudomonadati; Pseudomonadota; Gammaproteobacteria; Pseudomonadales; Pseudomonadaceae
Description: bacterial SSU rRNA
Rfam family: Bacterial small subunit ribosomal RNA
Source: RNAcentral
GCGGCAGGCCUAACACAUGCAAGUCGAGCGGUAGAGAGAAGCUUGCUUCUCUUGAGAGCGGCGGACGGGUGAGUAAUGCCUAGGAAUCUGCCUGGUAGUGGGGGAUAACGCUCGGAAACGGACGCUAAUACCGCAUACGUCCUACGGGAGAAAGCAGGGGACCUUCGGGCCUUGCGCUAUCAGAUGAGCCUAGGUCGGAUUAGCUAGUUGGUGAGGUAAUGGCUCACCAAGGCGACGAUCCGUAACUGGUCUGAGAGGAUGAUCAGUCACACUGGAACUGAGACACGGUCCAGACUCCUACGGGAGGCAGCAGUGGGGAAUAUUGGACAAUGGGCGAAAGCCUGAUCCAGCCAUGCCGCGUGUGUGAAGAAGGUCUUCGGAUUGUAAAGCACUUUAAGUUGGGAGGAAGGGCAUUAACCUAAUACGUUAGUGUUUUGACGUUACCGACAGAAUAAGCACCGGCUAACUCUGUGCCAGCAGCCGCGGUAAUACAGAGGGUGCAAGCGUUAAUCGGAAUUACUGGGCGUAAAGCGCGCGUAGGUGGUUUGUUAAGUUGAAUGUGAAAUCCCCGGGCUCAACCUGGGAACUGCAUCCAAAACUGGCAAGCUAGAGUAUGGUAGAGGGUGGUGGAAUUUCCUGUGUAGCGGUGAAAUGCGUAGAUAUAGGAAGGAACACCAGUGGCGAAGGCGACCACCUGGACUGAUACUGACACUGAGGUGCGAAAGCGUGGGGAGCAAAC